GAUGGAAAUUGAGAGGCGUAUAUAAACAUGGGUGUAGUAGUGCAGAUGGAAAGUAGCAGAAACAAAUAGAGAGCUAGAAGUGUGUGCAUAUAUAUAUAUAUAUAUCAGAAUGAACUUCACCUGCAUUUGCACCUGCACCUUACUUUCACUUAUUAUGGCUUUGAUCGAAGAAGAAGAAGAAGAAGAAGAGGCUAGAAGUGCGUAAAGGUGCAGGUGCAGGUGCAGGUUUAUUUAUUUUUAGAGAUGCUCAAGGGCAACCGAGUUUAGAGGUAAUUGAGCGCUUUUGAUUGUGCAACUUUGAAUCUAAGAUAUUAAAUUAAAGUAUGUAUGGAUAAGUGCUAGAUUGAAUCCAAGAAGAUAUACACAA
Molecule: long non-coding RNA, 367 nt
Organism: Tripterygium wilfordii
Lineage: Eukaryota; Viridiplantae; Streptophyta; Magnoliopsida; Celastrales; Celastraceae
Exons: 2
Source: RefSeq, a predicted model, not a curated record